Molecule: long non-coding RNA, 4534 nt
Organism: Meriones unguiculatus (Mongolian gerbil)
Lineage: Eukaryota; Metazoa; Chordata; Mammalia; Rodentia; Muridae
Exons: 3
Source: RefSeq, a predicted model, not a curated record
GCAACUUUUUCCCAGAUGAUAUUAACAUUUCAAUCAGGAGGAUAAAGUGGAAUGUACUUCAUACUAUGCUGGGGCCUUGUGGGUAAAGUGAAGAUCUUCUAAGAACCAAAGAAUUUUGCCUUUGGACUUCACCCACAACACCAACUCUUUUCUCUCCUGUUUGGAGACAAUGUGACCUACACUAGACCUACAGUUCAUGAAGCAAAUCUGCCCUUACUAACUUCCUACACAAACUUCUCCAUUCCCUAGUCUACUACCCACUGUUCUUGUGAUGGCAAAGCAGCACACUGGCCCCAGUUCUGGAGAAGGAAGAAGUUUGGGGUUACACAGAACUCCACAAUGACUAGGACCCCCUUUCAGAAUGUUUACCACCAAGUUUCUUUUGAACAUGUACAGAUGCAGACCAUCUUCUUGAGGUUGUCAGUAGUUGCCAAUUAGAGUCUCUUUAAGCGAGUCUAUGAUUCUGCCAAGAAAGCUCGUGAUGAAUGGAGUCCAUUUGUGGGAGUGUGUAAGCAUUUGGCUUAUCCCCAGCGGCAUUGUGCAGAACCAUCUUCUGGAACUCAGCAUGCUAGAACCUGGGACAGUUUCCGCAUUUGAUCUGUCGAGAAGAUUAAGCAGAAGGAAGUCCGCAGCUGCAUUGAGACUUGUGGAAGCACCGUGGAGAUUCCGUCCAGUUUGUAUUUACAGGGAAUGUGGGAUUUCUUUUGUUCUGCAUUGAUUAAAAUGUAUCACAAGGAAGUAAAGGAAAUAUAUUACUUAACAUUGAUAAAAUCAUUGCUGUUUUGAUAAAAGUGUUGUUCAGAGUAUUGCGCUUGUAAAUAAGAUAAUGAUUAUAAGAUAAUGAAUUAUAAUAAGCUAAUUCUUACCUCAUUCACAUUUCACAGCCUGGGGUUCAGAAGUGUCCUUGCUUAGUAUCAUUGCAAUCUUGUUAGUCCUGAAAGCUUGAGUGCUGGGAAACAGAGAUGAGGUCAUGUUUUGUUUGCUUUGAUCAAGCAACAGAAUAUUGCUUUUUGGCACUGACUCAAGAAACCUUAAACUUUUUUUUUAAAGAUUUAUUUAUUAUGUAUACAAUGUAUGUUUGCAUGUACACCUGCGCGCCAGAAGAGGGCACCAGAUUUCAUUUUAGAUGGUUGUGAGCUGCCAUGUGGUUGCUGGGAAUUGAACUCAUGACCUCUUAACCUCUGAGCCAUCUCUCCAGCCCCAAGAAACCUUAAACUUAAACAUCCUUUUGUUUGCUUUUCUCAGUGAAAUAUCACAGAAUAAGGUGAAGGUGACUGAACUAAAUAUAUGUAUCUUGAUGCUGUUGACUCUGGGAAUCCCAAUACCGCUCUCAGAAAGGGGGAAAGAAGAGCAGUAAUGCCAUGAUGGUGUAAGAAUUUCCCAUUACUUGAUUAUUAUCCAUGUUUUUGCAGAGUAAAAUGAGCAUAAAAUAGUACAACUAUAACAAGAAAAUUGAAAGAAUUAAGGCAAUGUAGGUGGAAGGAGAGAUAUUUAUCUAACCCAGUCUUCCUUUCACCUCUCAGGGUCUUCCUGUCCCAGGCAAAAUAGAUAUUGUGAGAAGCAAUGAUCUGUUGUGUAAUGAUAGACCAUUGCUCCAAACACGAGCAGGAAUAUUCACAGUCCAGUCUACAUUCUAAUAUUAAAUUGCCUAUGCAGAGUUUUACUUAAAGGGCAUUCAGGACAAUAGUAGAUGAAAUAUUAAGAAGUCCUUUAAAAGGAGAUGGUGAGUUGUGUCUAGGGAAAUAUCAUCUUUUGUAACUGCCUUAGGAAAGCUUCUCCUAGGUCCAUAUUGAGCCAAAUGCAAUUUUCUGGAUUAUCUCAUUUUAUUUUCACAACCCUCUGGGGUGGUAUCAUCAUCAUCAUCAUCAUCAUCAUUUCAUAAAUAAGGAAACCAAGUCUUGCCUGAUCUUAUGGCUGGCUAAAGCUACAUAACUGGAGAAUUUAGGAGGCUUUAAAAUUAGUGUCAUGCCAAUGUGAUACCAUUGAAACUGGGAAUACCACAAACUGCAAUGUUUUCUCAGCUGUACCCAAUUUGCCUGUCUGGGUUUAUUUUUCAUAGGGACUUAACUACACUCUAGCAUAAUCUUAAAUGGAAAUUUCUGUGAAGUCCAAGUUGACCUCAAAACUCCUGGGCAAUCCUUCUACCAGCUUCCCAUGUGCUGGAUUGUGGGAGUGAACUAUCAUACCCAGCUUGAGGGUCUUAUUCUUUCUUUCACAUAGUUACUGAAUGGAUAUUGUUAUGGAAGAAUACAUGAUACCUCCUGGCUCUAACCUAGAUUGCAUCACUUUGAAUUUUCAAUUAGUUUACAAGCCCUUCCUAAUAUUUUAAUAUUAUCCUAAUAUUUUAUCCUAAUAUUUUGCUUUAAAUCCUGGUUUUUCCUUUUCUUUUCUAAAGAUUUAUUUAUUAUGUAUAUAGUAUUCUGCUGCACAUACACCUGCAUGUCAGAAGAGGGCACCAGAUCUCACGAUAGAAUGGCUGUGAGUUACCAUGUGGUUGCUGGGAAUUGAACUCAGGACCUCUGGAAGAACAGCCAGUGCUCUUAACCUCUGAGCCAUUUCUCCAGCCCCCUGAUUUUUCUUAUACUUUCGUUACGGCAUCAAGGCAUUUCAUUGUCAGGAAGCAUUUUUCCCUUUGUUUUGUGACACCAUUUCACUGUGUAACCCUAACCUGGUCUUGUGCAGAGGGUCAUCUGCCUCAGCCCUGAGUGCUGCCAUUACAGACAGGCUCAAUAAUUUGCAUUAUUUAUUUCUGUGCAGUAUCGGGAUUGCGCCAAGGGUCUCAUAAUUGCCAGGCAAAGGUUUUGCUACCAUAUCCCCAGAUUCUCAGCAUUGAUUUUUAAUCAACCAGUUUACCAGUUUUAAUACUUGUAGCAUUUGUAAACUUCUCUGAAGCCUGAUAAUUAGAAGUCAUCUUAUUUUGCUUUCUAUCACUAUUAUAGUACAUGUAACCAUCCUCUGUAUCUGCAUAUUUUAUAUCCGUUCAAUGACUGCACGCUCAAAAUAUUUUAAAAAAUGCAUCCGAACUGUGGACUUCCCUUGCCAUUAUUAACUAAGUGAUGUGGCAUACCAACUAUUUAUACAGCUUUUGCAUUCUUUUGUAUUAUAAUUAAUCUAGACAUGGCUUAAAGGAUGUGGGAAGAUAUGUGUAGACUAUCUCUAAUUACCAAGCAAUUUUGUAUGAUGUCCUUGUAUAUACAUCUACAGAUUUCAUAUCCAUGGGUGUUGAAGUUGUGUUUUCAGCUUCUUAAUUUCCAGCAGAUGGAUGAUAUUUUGACAUUAAUUGCCCUGAAUUUACAAAUGACUAUAAACUGACAUUUACAGCAAUCUGAGAGCAAUGGUAGUCUUUACAACAUUAAAUAUUUUACCUCAGGCAAAUAGAAUGGGAUUAUAUGUAGGCUUUCUAUGUUUUACAAAGAAGGAAAUUUUGCAAUAUUAUAACUAGUAAUCUUGGGGCAUUUUAUAGGCUUUCAUUUUGUUUUCAAAAACUAUUAAUGUUUUGUAUUAUGAACUAAUUUAAAUAUCAGCAUUGCAUUACUAAACUCCAGUUAGGUUUAGUAUUUUUUUGUUGACGUCCAUGCCUUUUCUGAGUCAGUGGUAGUUAACCCAUAAUAACAAAUUCUGAUUUUUCCAAGUCUUUAUAACUUUUGUUUUGUCUCUAUGCUCAUGUAGUUUCUCAGACCGCAAGUGAGCUAACAAUGAAAAGUUAAUUUUCUCCAAAAAAAUGGAAUGUUGGUAGUCCUCUGAUGGCUACAUGCAUCAGAUUUCUCAUUUUCUGGUAUUUAAGGCUUCAUUCGUUCUGUAAACCUUAUAAGCACUAUAACUGGAGAAGAACAUUGAAGUGGUGCAUAGGAUUCUGCAAAAAAUACCAGACGGUGUUAACUUACUUGAAGCUGUUCUCCAUACUUAUUUUACAUACACGUGGGUUUGCACACAGACACACUUAUUUACUUGCUAUGUUCUAAGGAAAUUGUUCCGUAUUUAACUAAUAGUUAAACCUGGAGCUGCAGUAAUGUUAGGCCUCUUGGUGGGAUUAGAUGAGUAGUAAAUAUUAAUGGGAUAAUUUCCAGAACAGAAUAGUUUAUAUAUAUUGUUAAAGUUGACUCCCCUACACAAGGUGCUUGCGGUGCACCUGAGCAUCAGUGUUUCCUUUAAAUGCUGUCUGUCUGUACCUGCCCCGCCCCAGUCUCUCUGUCUCUACCUCUCUGCCUCUCUCUUUCCCUCUCUGUCCCUCUCUCUGUAUGUGUGUCUUACUCUUGAAAUAUGUCUUUUUUAUACUUGAAUAUGUGAAUUAUUGUUUAAUCAAAUAUCUUCUUCUCUACAACAUUUUUACUUUUAUCAGACAAAUUUGAAAACUGCUCUGCAGAGGCUGUGGCUGGAGAGGUGGCUCAGCUGCCAAGAGCAUGCAUUGUUCUUCCAGACUCCUUAAGUUUGGUUCCCUGAAUCCAUAUAGGGCAACUACAACUGCCUGUAACUCCAGCUCCAGGGCAUCUGGUUCCUCUGGCUUCUUUGGGCAUGUGUGCCUUCCCCAAAAUAG